UACGUAGGGUGCGAGCGUUGUCCGGAAUUAUUGGGCGUAAAGGGCUCGUAGGCGGUCUGUUGCGUCAGGAGUGAAAACUCGGGGCUUAACCCCGAGCCUGCUUCUGAUACGGGCAGACUAGAGGUAUGCAGGGGAGAACGGAAUUCCAGGUGUAGCGGUGAAAUGCGUAGAUAUCUGGAGGAACACCGGUGGCGAAGGCGGCGUCCUGGACCAACACUGACACUGAUGAGCGAAAGCCAGGGGAGCAAACGGG
Molecule: ribosomal RNA, 253 nt
Filed under: uncultured bacterium
Lineage: Bacteria
Description: partial 16S ribosomal RNA
Rfam family: Bacterial small subunit ribosomal RNA
Source: RNAcentral